RNAcentral lists this ribosomal RNA (484 nucleotides) under uncultured bacterium. Its description in RNAcentral is "partial 16S ribosomal RNA". It matches the Rfam family "Bacterial small subunit ribosomal RNA", at positions 28 to 507 of the family's 1533-position model. The record is from RNAcentral.
GAUGAACGCUGGCGGCGGGCCUAACACAUGCCAGUCGAGCGGACGAAGGAGGCUCUUUCCUUGCUGCAGCUACGGACGGGUGAGUAAGGCAUACGAGGAUGCCUUGCCGUGGGGGAUAACGUAACUAAACGAAAGCUAAUCUCGCAUACGACCUGAGGGUGAAAGGGAGGGAUCAUCGGUGCUCACGGUAUCAGAUGUCCCUAGGCCGGGUUACCUAGUUGGUAUGGUAAAGGCCUACCUAGGCCACGUACCGUGACUAGUCUGAGAGGUUGAUCAGUCACACUGGAACUGAGACACGGUCCAGACUCCUACGGGAGGCAGCAGUGGGGAAUUUUGGGCAAUGGGCGAAAGCCUGAUCAAGCCAUGCCGCGUGAGUGAGGAAGGUCUUCGGAUAGGAAAACGCUGUAACUUGGGAGGAAGUGAAGUCACUCCAAGUCUGGCUGUAGUGACGGUACCUACACAAUAAGCACCGGCUAACUUCGUG